This 474-nucleotide ribosomal RNA is filed under the name uncultured bacterium. Its description in RNAcentral is "bacterial SSU rRNA". It matches the Rfam family "Bacterial small subunit ribosomal RNA", at positions 31 to 507 of the family's 1533-position model. The record is from RNAcentral.
GAGAACGCUGGCGGCGUGCCUAACACAUGCAAGUCGAGCGGGGUUGAAGCGAGAGGUAACUCGAACUUCUACCUAGCGGCGGACGGGUGAGUAACGCGUGGGCAACCUGCCUCAAGGUCUGGGAUAACAGCCCGAAAGGGCUGCUAAUACCGGGUAUGCUUGUGGCCUCGCAUGGGGCUACGAGCAAAGGGGAAACCCGCCUUGAGAUGGGCCCGCGUCCCAUCAGCUAGUUGGUGAGGUAACAGCUCACCAAGGCGACGACGGGUAGCCGGCCUGAGAGGGUGACCGGCCACACUGGGACUGAGACACGGCCCAGACUCCUACGGGGGGCAGCAGUGGGGGAUCUUGCACAAUGGGCGAAAGCCUGAUGCAGCGACGCCGCGUGAGCGAAGAAGGCCUUCGGGUUGUAAAGCUCUGUCUGGAGGGACGAAGGAAGUGACGGUACCUCCGGAGGAAGCCACGGCUAACUACGUG